UUUGCCUUUUGGCCUCCUUUCUUUUCUUCCUUCUCUUUCUCCUGAGUUUCUUUUUCUACCAGCAGGUCGAAGUACUCGUCGCUGGUGACGACACAGGCUGGCAACGGAAUGCGACGCCUCACCUUCUCCUUCCUCUCCAGGGCUGGACUCAUGAGGACAUUAGCCAGACUCUCUGGGAUUACACCUGCUGCCACCAGUAGGUUGAGUGAUGGAUGGUGUGGUGGUAGCGAUAGAUGGUGUGGCUGAAGGAGUGGCGGCAGGGCUGGAUGGUGUGGCGUGGGAGCACUCUCACCACCUAAGAAAAUAAAACCAGUCCUGGACAGAGGAAAGAUGCCAGCCUGGCGGGACCCGGCCUUGAUGUUUUGGGCUGUGACAGCAGUGGGGUACACAUGUUUGAGGAGAGCUGAAAACUGCUUCUUCCCCACAACAAUGUCCCUUCGCACCAGACCCAUCCUGGAAACCAAUG
Sinocyclocheilus rhinocerous is the source of this 466-nucleotide long non-coding RNA. RefSeq lists it as uncharacterized. The record is from RefSeq and is a predicted model, not a curated record. NCBI's taxonomy places the organism in Eukaryota, Metazoa, Chordata, Actinopteri, Cypriniformes, Cyprinidae. The transcript is spliced from 3 exons.